GCCCGCAUCGCAUAGUGGUAUUGCACAGGCCUGGAGUGCCUGGCCCUUUGGGCUCGUAGGUUCGAUUCCUGCUGCGGGCG
This 80-nucleotide transfer RNA is filed under the name Nanobdellota archaeon. RNAcentral's name for it is "tRNA-Ser". It matches the Rfam family "tRNA". From Rfam's summary of the family: Transfer RNA (tRNA) molecules are approximately 80 nucleotides in length. Their secondary structure includes four short double-helical elements and three loops (D, anti-codon, and T loops). Lineage: Archaea; Nanobdellati; Nanobdellota. The record is from RNAcentral.